Ipomoea triloba (trilobed morning glory) is the source of this 267-nucleotide long non-coding RNA. RefSeq lists it as uncharacterized. The transcript has 3 exons. The record is from RefSeq and is a predicted model, not a curated record. NCBI's taxonomy places the organism in Eukaryota, Viridiplantae, Streptophyta, Magnoliopsida, Solanales, Convolvulaceae.
UCUUGAUUUACGCACAAAGUAGAGCUUGAUGUUUGCAUUCUAGUAUUGUUAUCCUCCAAAUAAUACUCUCAUCUUUCUAAAGGUACAAAAAUUCACAGUAUGUGGAUGAGCGGCAUCGGCAUAGAUAUGAGGUUAAUCCUGAGAUGGUUGAUGCUUUAGAAAAAGCUGGCUUGAAAUUUGUUGGAACGGAUGAAAGUGGAAAGCGAAUGGAGAUUUUGGAACUUCCAAAUAACCCAUUUUAUGUAUGUGUCCAGUUUCAUCCAGAAU